Molecule: ribosomal RNA, 557 nt
Filed under: uncultured Actinomycetes bacterium
Lineage: Bacteria; Bacillati; Actinomycetota; Actinomycetes
Description: bacterial SSU rRNA
Rfam family: Bacterial small subunit ribosomal RNA
Source: RNAcentral
AGGCAGCAGCAGGGAAUCUUGUCCAAUGGGCGCAAGCCUGAGACAGCGACGCCGCGUGGGGGAUGAAGGCCUUCGGGUUGUAAACCCCUUUCAGGAGGGACGAAAUUGACGGUACCUCCAGAAGAAGCCCCGGCCAACUACGUGCCAGCAGCCGCGGUAAUACGUAGGGGGCAAGCGUUGUCCGGAAUUAUUGGGCGUAAAGGGCUCGUAGGCGGCUUGGCAAGUCGGCCGUGAAAGCCCGGGGCUUAACCCCGGGAUGCCGGUCGAUACUGCCAUGGCUUGGGUCCGGUAGAGGAGAACGGAAUUCCCGGUGUAGCGGUGAAAUGCGCAGAUAUCGGGAGGAACACCAAUAGCGAAGGCAGUUCUCUGGGCCGGUACCGACGCUGAGGAGCGAAAGCGUGGGGAGCAAACAGGAUUAGAUACCCUGGUAGUCCACGCCGUAAACGUUGGGCACUAGGUGUGGCGGACUCAUCAACGUUCGCCGUGCCGAAGCUAACGCAUUAAGUGCCCCGCCUGGGGAGUACGGCCGCAAGGCUAAAACUCAAAGGAAUUGACGG